This 307-nucleotide ribosomal RNA is filed under the name uncultured bacterium. RNAcentral's name for it is "bacterial SSU rRNA". It matches the Rfam family "Bacterial small subunit ribosomal RNA", at positions 29 to 363 of the family's 1533-position model. The record is from RNAcentral.
AACGAACGCUGGCGGCAUGCCUAACACAUGCAAGUCGAACGAGACCUUCGGGUCUAGUGGCGCACGGGUGCGUAACGCGUGGGAAUCUGCCCUUGGGUUCGGAAUAACAGUUAGAAAUGACUGCUAAUACCGGAUAAUGUCUUCGGACCAAAGAUUUAUCGCCCAGGGAUGAGCCCGCGUAGGAUUAGCUAGUUGGUGAGGUAAAGGCUCACCAAGGCGACGAUCCUUAGCUGGUCUGAGAGGAUGAUCAGCCACACUGGGACUGAGACACGGCCCAGACUCCUACGGGAGGCAGCAGUGGGGAAUA